This 468-nucleotide ribosomal RNA is filed under the name uncultured bacterium. RNAcentral's name for it is "partial 16S ribosomal RNA". It matches the Rfam family "Bacterial small subunit ribosomal RNA", at positions 28 to 507 of the family's 1533-position model. The record is from RNAcentral.
GACGAACGCUGGCGGCGUGCUUAACACAUGCAAGUCGAACGGAAAGGCCCUGCUUUUGUGGGGUGCUCGAGUGGCGAACGGGUGAGUAACACGUGAGUAACCUGCCCUUGACUUUGGGAUAACUUCAGGAAACUGGGGCUAAUACCGGAUAGGAGCUCCUGCUGCAUGGUGGGGGUUGGAAAGUUUCGGCGGUUGGGGAUGGACUCGCGGCUUAUCAGCGUGUUGGUGGGGUAGUGGCUUACCAAGGCUUUGACGGGUAGCCGGCCUGAGAGGGUGACCGGACACAUUGGGACUGAGAUACGGCCCAGACUCCUACGGGAGGCAGCAGUGGGGAAUAUUGCACAAUGGGCGGAAGCCUGAUGCAGCAACGCCGCGUGCGGGAUGACGGCCUUCGGGUUGUAAACCGCUUUCGCCUGUGACGAAGCGUGAGUGACGGUAAUGGGUAAAGAAGCACCGGCUAACUACGUG